This 465-nucleotide ribosomal RNA is filed under the name uncultured bacterium. Its description in RNAcentral is "partial 16S ribosomal RNA". It matches the Rfam family "Bacterial small subunit ribosomal RNA", at positions 28 to 507 of the family's 1533-position model. The record is from RNAcentral.
GACGAACGCUGGCGGCGUGCUUAACACAUGCAAGUCGAACGGUAAGGCCCCAGCUUGCUGGGGUACACGAGUGGCGAACGGGUGAGUAACACGUGGGUGACCUGCCCUGCACUUCGGGAUAAGCCCAGGAAACUGGGGCUAAUACCGGAUAGGAGCGCACGCUGCGGGGGUGGGGGAGGGAUUUUUCGGUGGGGGAUGGGCCCGGGGCCUAUCAGCUUGUUGGUGGGGGAGUGGCCUACCAAGGCGGCGACGGGUAGCCGGCCUGAGAGGGUGGACGGCCACAUUGGGACUGAGACACGGCCCAGACUCCUACGGGAGGCAGCAGUGGGGAAUAUUGCACAAUGGGCGGAAGCCUGAUGCAGCGACGCCGCGUGGGGGAUGACGGCCUUCGGGUUGUAAACCCCUUUCACCAUCGACGAAGGGUUUCUGACGGUAGAUGGAGAAGAAGCACCGGCUAACUACGUG